GGACAGUAGUGACAGGAGGCGGAGCUCCUAUCUUCUGGAAUAUAUUCAGAAGUACCAUGACAUAACUGAGGACUUAGACUGGAAAUUAAUUGUUCAAAUUGGGAAUUCAGGGGUGUGUUGUGGCAAUCUGGAGGAGCAGAAGGGGCUGAUGAAGAUGGUUCUUAGUAUGGUGUUAGUAGGGCAUGUGAACUUCCUGCUGGGUGCUUUGGUCCAUGGUGUGGUGCUGAGACCCUUCAGCCUCCAGCGGGGACCGGCCAUGGAAAGCACUAUUUUGAACGUCAUCACCCUGGCAACAGGCCUAGGGAUGAAAACCCCGAGAUCAGCCGAGCCCCGCUACUCACCCCAGUCCCGUCGUUGCCAAGGAGAUGAGGAACGGAAGCUGUCCAUUAUUAGACCCACAGAGCGGCACAGGCCACCGCUCUGCUCCGUGUCCUCCUGUCAAUACCACCAGCACC
Molecule: long non-coding RNA, 455 nt
Organism: Carassius carassius (crucian carp)
Lineage: Eukaryota; Metazoa; Chordata; Actinopteri; Cypriniformes; Cyprinidae
Exons: 3
Source: RefSeq, a predicted model, not a curated record